Molecule: unclassified non-coding RNA, 196 nt
Filed under: uncultured Clitopilus
Lineage: Eukaryota; Fungi; Basidiomycota; Agaricomycetes; Agaricales; Entolomataceae
Description: sequence contains ITS2
Source: RNAcentral
UAUUCUCAACUAUACAAGUUUUUGAAACAUGUAUGGCUUGGAUCUUGGGAUUUGCGGGCUUUCACAAAGUCGGCUAUCCUUAAACGCAUUAGCAGAGCUUUUGCCGCUAACCUCUGGUGUGAUAAUUAUCUAUGCCGUUGAGUUGCGACAUUAUUCAAGCUUAGCUUCUAAUUGUCUGCAAGGACAACUUUUGACA